This 585-nucleotide unclassified non-coding RNA is filed under the name Penicillium corylophilum. Its description in RNAcentral is "sequence contains 18S rRNA gene, ITS1, 5.8S rRNA gene, ITS2, 28S rRNA gene". The stretch from base 218 to 371 matches the Rfam family "5.8S ribosomal RNA". The record is from RNAcentral. Lineage: Eukaryota; Fungi; Ascomycota; Eurotiomycetes; Eurotiales; Aspergillaceae.
UCGUAACAAGGUUUCCGUAGGUGAACCUGCGGAAGGAUCAUUACCGAGUGAGGGCCCUCUGGGUCCAACCUCCCACCCAUGUUUAUUGUACCUUGUUGCUUCGGCGGGCCCGCCUCACGGCCGCCGGGGGGCUUCUGCCCUCUGGCCCGCGCCCGCCGAAGACACCAUUGAACACUGUCUGAAGAUUGCAGUCUGAGCAAUUAGCUAAAUAAGUUAAAACUUUCAACAACGGAUCUCUUGGUUCCGGCAUCGAUGAAGAACGCAGCGAAAUGCGAUACGUAAUGUGAAUUGCAGAAUUCAGUGAAUCAUCGAGUCUUUGAACGCACAUUGCGCCCCUUGGUAUUCCGGGGGGCAUGCCUGUCCGAGCGUCAUUGCUGCCCUCAAGCACGGCUUGUGUGUUGGGCCCCGUCCUCCUUCCCGGGGGACGGGCCCGAAAGGCAGCGGCGGCACCGCGUCCGGUCCUCGAGCGUAUGGGGCUUUGUCACCCGCUCUUGUAGGCCCGGCCGGCGCUUGCCGACAACCAUCAAUCUUUUUUCAGGUUGACCUCGGAUCAGGUAGGGAUACCCGCUGAACCUAAGCAUAUCA